UAACUAAUUGGAGAAGACUGUUCCACAGAGCCCUCCUCUCGAUCAGCCUCUUCAACAUUUCUGCAGCAAGCACUGCUGCUUCACCUGGAUGCUGGAAUCUCAUCAGGGGAUGGCACUCCUCACAGGAGACUUCCAAAAACCUGGAAGGGACAAGGAGCAAGUCAUUAAGGAACCUCUACCUGUUUAAUUCAUCAGUGCUCUGCACAGCUGCAUUCUAUUCUAGCAUGCCCUAAAUGCCUUGCUGUUUGCUUUGAAGUUGGUUAAUCUGGUUUGGCUUUAUCUUAUCUUUUUUAGGAGGCAGUUUCAGAAUUAAAAGCUUGUGACUGACAGUGUUCUGCUUUCUGGUCUCCUGAGCUUUAUCCUAAACCUUUAUAGCUGUAAUUGUCUCAGAAGAGUGUAGCUUGCCUCAGGUGUAGCUUCCAUCUCCCGGUGCCUGCAGAGUUAAAGCUCUGCCUUUGGAGCACAGAGAAGAGCAACUGAGAGCUGGAUCGUGUUCCAAGGGAAAAAAAAAUCAAUAUAUUAUGCACAAGAUGUCUCCAAAUUCAGCACCUUCUAAUUAGUCCAGGAGCCAGCACCCCUCUGUCAACAGCAGAAUCCAAGUCUUGUUGCGGAGGUUGUUCCUUCUGUGUGGUUUAGCCUUAUUUUGGUCCCUGUGCUUUGAUUCCCAUCACAUCAGGGAUGUUAAUAGAGUGAAGUGCUGAGGGGGACCCCAGAGAGGGUCAGGGAGAGGAGCAGGCGAAUCAGUGGGAGCAAAGGAUCUGUGUGGAGCUGGAAAAGCUCUCGAGAAAUGCCUGCAGCCCAACAGGCAACUCAGAGAGAGAUGCUGGAGAGCCUUUGGCCUGCCAAGUUUGAUGUGUGCCUUCAUCCUCAUACUUAUCUGUCCCAUAAUACUCCAUUCCAGACCUGGCAGUAUCAGCACAUACUGGAUUUAUUGCUAGGGAAGGAAAGAAGUUGCCAUGACUACUCACCGAGUAAUACUCCAUUAUGCGCAAAGGAGACACUGACUGCCCCCAUGUCAGAGAAUUGCUGAGAACCAGACCCAGAGAGGGUUGCCAAAUUCUCCACUGAAUGCCAGAGGAAGAAGGACUCAUUUUCAGGUCCUUUAUGGUGUGAUGUUGUGGCACAUCUCUAAGAUGUGAAGGACCAGAGACUUCUGAGCUGGUGGGAAGUGGAAUGUUCUCAGCUGGAAUCCUUCAGUGCAAGCAGUGACCACCCAGCAAGGAAAUCAACUCUGAAUCCUGGAAGGAGGAAGAGGAGAUAGUUCUGAAUCAGAGAAUAUCCUGAGUUGGAAGGGACACACAAGGAUCAUGAGUCUGACUGCUGGUCCUGCACAGACACCCCAACAAUCCCA
Non-coding RNA from Cyanistes caeruleus (blue tit), 1351 nucleotides. The record is from RefSeq and is a predicted model, not a curated record. Lineage: Eukaryota; Metazoa; Chordata; Aves; Passeriformes; Paridae.